CUUAGAUUAUUUCAUAGUUCGGUUUGUAGAAUACCAUCUUCGAGUUCUUGAUUAAUCACUCAUCUGCAAUUGAUGGCAACAGGAUGCUCGAUCUUCCAUCAGGUAAAGAUAACUCUUGAUUUGGCGAAAACUUGUCACACAUGAUUUGACUUUCGAUCAACACGAUCUAAACUUGCAAUUUCAGCACCAUGUCUUUUCUAGUUACCAACCGUGCCGAAAUCUGAUUGGCCUUCACUGAGAAGGCUAAUCCUUGCAUGCGAAUCGAAGAAUACAAGCAAGAAAAAGGUAGAUUGUAGCUCAAUUGCAGAUGAAUGAUUUAGCACUCGAAGUUGGGGUUCUACAAACCGAACUAGUGGUGAA
Molecule: microRNA precursor, 360 nt
Filed under: Oryza sativa (Asian cultivated rice)
Lineage: Eukaryota; Viridiplantae; Streptophyta; Magnoliopsida; Poales; Poaceae
Description: miR2872 stem-loop (osa-MIR2872)
Source: miRBase by way of RNAcentral